This 497-nucleotide ribosomal RNA is filed under the name uncultured bacterium. RNAcentral describes it as "partial 16S ribosomal RNA". It matches the Rfam family "Bacterial small subunit ribosomal RNA", at positions 28 to 507 of the family's 1533-position model. The record is from RNAcentral.
GAUGAACGCUGGCGGCGUGCCUAAUACAUGCAAGUCGAGCGAACAGACGAGGAGCUUGCUCCUCUGACGUUAGCGGCGGACGGGUGAGUAACACGUGGAUAACCUACCUAUAAGACUGGGAUAACUUCGGGAAACCGGAGCUAAUACCGGAUAAUAUAUUGAACCGCAUGGUUCAAUGGUGAAAGACGGUUUUGCUGUCACUUAUAGAUGGAUCCGCGCCGCAUUAGCUAGUUGGUAAGGUAACGGCUUACCAAGGCAACGAUGCGUAGCCGACCUGAGAGGGUGAUCGGCCGCACUGGAACUGAGACACGGUCCAGACUCCUACGGGAGGCAGCAGUAGGGAAUCUUCCGCAAUGGGCGAAAGCCUGACGGAGCAACGCCGCGUGAGUGAUGAAGGUCUUCGGAUCGUAAAACUCUGUUAUUAGGGAAGAACAAAUGUGUAAGUAACUAUGCACGUCUUGACGGUACCUAAUCAGAAAGCCACGGCUAACUACGUG